RNAcentral lists this ribosomal RNA (717 nucleotides) under uncultured bacterium. RNAcentral describes it as "bacterial SSU rRNA". It matches the Rfam family "Bacterial small subunit ribosomal RNA", at positions 60 to 737 of the family's 1533-position model. The record is from RNAcentral.
AGUCGAGCGAGCUUGCCUAGAUGAUUUUAGUGCUUGCACUAAAUGAAACUAGAUACAAGCGAGCGGCGGACGGGUGAGUAACACGUGGGUAACCUGCCCAAGAGACUGGGAUAACACCUGGAAACAGAUGCUAAUACCGGAUAACAACACUAGACGCAUGUCUAGAGUUUGAAAGAUGGUUCUGCUAUCACUCUUGAAUGGACCUGCGGUGCAUUAGCUAGUUGGUAAGGUAACGGCUUACCAAGGCAAUGAUGCAUAGCCGAGUUGAGAGACUGAUCGGCCACAUUGGGACUGAGACACGGCCCAAACUCCUACGGGAGGCAGCAGUAGGGAAUCUUCCACAAUGGACGAAAGUCUGAUGGAGCAACGCCGCGUGAGUGAAGAAGGGUUUCGGCUCGUAAAGCUCUGUUGGUAGUGAAGAAAGAUAGAGGUAGUAACUGGCCUUUAUUUGACGGUAAUUACUUAGAAAGUCACGGCUAACUACGUGCCAGCAGCCGCGGUAAUACGUAGGUGGCAAGCGUUGUCCGGAUUUAUUGGGCGUAAAGCGAGUGCAGGCGGUUCAAUAAGUCUGAUGUGAAAGCCUUCGGCUCAACCGGAGAAUUGCAUCAGAAACUGUUGAACUUGAGUGCAGAAGAGGAGAGUGGAACUCCAUGUGUAGCGGUGGAAUGCGUAGAUAUAUGGAAGAACACCAGUGGCGAAGGCGGCUCUCUGGUCUGC